AGGUUCGGAGCCAGGAGUUUAGCGAAUUAUUUGCGGAAUUUCGUGAGUGUUCGAUUAGCUAUUUUCGAGGUACUUAGGGGGAUUCGGGACUGUGUGAUGGAGAGCAGCCCAUUCUUUUCAUUGUUUAGGACUUUAUGGACUUCUAGCAUUUAUUCGGAUUUUAUUGUUUAGAGAUUCUAUUUAUUCGCAUUAUUCGGAUUAUAUUAUUUUGGAGGAUUUA
This is a long non-coding RNA of Daucus carota subsp. sativus, 220 nucleotides long. RefSeq lists it as uncharacterized. The record is from RefSeq and is a predicted model, not a curated record. NCBI's taxonomy places the organism in Eukaryota, Viridiplantae, Streptophyta, Magnoliopsida, Apiales, Apiaceae. The transcript is spliced from 2 exons.